Molecule: ribosomal RNA, 121 nt
Filed under: Arabidopsis thaliana (thale cress)
Lineage: Eukaryota; Viridiplantae; Streptophyta; Magnoliopsida; Brassicales; Brassicaceae
Source: RNAcentral
GGAUGCGAUCAUACCAGCACUAAUGCACCGGAUCCCAUCAGAACUCCGCAGUUAAGCGUGCUUGGGCGAGAGUAGUACUAGGAUGGGUGACCCCCCGGGAAGUCCUCGUGUUGCAUCCCUC